Molecule: ribosomal RNA, 423 nt
Filed under: uncultured bacterium
Lineage: Bacteria
Description: bacterial SSU rRNA
Rfam family: Bacterial small subunit ribosomal RNA
Source: RNAcentral
AAGACCUUGCACUUUUGGAGCGGCCGAUGUCUGAUUAGCUAGUUGGUGGGGUAAUGGCCUACCAAAGCUUCGAUCAGUAGCUGGUCUGAGAGGACGGCCAGCCACACUGGGACUGAGACACGGCCCAGACUCCUACGGGAGGCAGCAGUGGGGAAUUUUGGACAAUGGGGGCAACCCUGAUCCAGCCAUGCCGCGUGAGUGAAGAAGGCCUUCGGGUUGUAAAGCUCUUUCAGCCGGAACGAAACGGUUACGAUUAAUACCCGUGACUACUGACGGUACCGGAAGAAGAAGCACCGGCUAACUACGUGCCAGCAGCCGCGGUAAUACGUAGGGUGCAAGCGUUAAUCGGAAUUACUGGGCGUAAAGCGUGCGCAGGUGGUCUUGUAAGUCAGAUGUGAAAUCCCCGGGCUUAACCUGGGAACU